UACAGAGGGUGCGAGCGUUGUUCGGAAUUAUUGGGCGUAAAGGGCGCGUAGGCGGUGUGGUAAGUCACCUGUGAAAUCUCCUGGCUCAACUGGGAGCUUGCAGGCGAAACUGCCGUGCUGGAGUGUGGGAGAGGUGCGUGGAAUUCCUGGUGUAGCGGUGAAAUGCGUAGAUAUCAGGAGGAACACCUGUGGCGAAAGCGGCGCACUGGACCACAACUGACGCUGAGGCGCGAAAGCUAGGGGAGCAAACAGG
Molecule: ribosomal RNA, 253 nt
Filed under: uncultured bacterium
Lineage: Bacteria
Description: partial 16S ribosomal RNA
Rfam family: Bacterial small subunit ribosomal RNA
Source: RNAcentral